This 84-nucleotide non-coding RNA is filed under the name Ricinus communis (castor bean). Its description in RNAcentral is "c-di-GMP sequence". It matches the Rfam family "c-di-GMP-I riboswitch aptamer". From Rfam's summary of the family: GEMM was predicted in a large-scale screen for bacterial structured RNA regulatory elements. Genes associated with GEMM are involved in a diverse array of functions, including chemotaxis regulation, signal transduction, secretion and chitin. The record is from Rfam by way of RNAcentral. Lineage: Eukaryota; Viridiplantae; Streptophyta; Magnoliopsida; Malpighiales; Euphorbiaceae. RNAcentral also lists the same sequence under 1 other name.
UAGUAACAAGGGCAAAUCCAUCGAAAGAUGGAGACGCAAAAUCACCGGUCUACGGGCUUAUGCCACGACAGCGGGAUUGCCGGC